Molecule: ribosomal RNA, 494 nt
Filed under: uncultured bacterium
Lineage: Bacteria
Description: bacterial SSU rRNA
Rfam family: Bacterial small subunit ribosomal RNA
Source: RNAcentral
AAAUGAAUUGACGGGGGCCCGCACAAGCGGAGGAACAUGUGGUUUAAUUCGAUGAUACGCGAGGAACCUUACCUGGGCUCGAACGCUUCUGGAAUCACGCCGAAAGGCGUGAGCCGGCAACGGCCGGGAGCGAGGUGCUGCAUGGUUGUCGUCAGCUCGUGCCGUGAGGUGUCGGGUUAAGUCCCAUAACGAGCGCAACCCCUACCGCCAGUUGCCAGCGGGUGAAGCCGGGGACUCUGGCGGGACUGCCGGCGUAAGCCGAGAGGAAGGCGGGGAUGACGUCAAAUCAGCACGGCCCUUACGUCCAGGGCUACACACGUGUUACAAUGGCCGGUACAGAGGGAGGCGACCCCGCGAGGGGGAGCGGAUCCCGAAAGCCGGUCGUAGUUCGGAUCGGGGUCUGGAACCCGACCCCGUGAAGCCGGAUUCGCUAGUAAUCGCGCAUCAGCCAUGGCGCGGUGAAUACGUUCCCGGGCCUUGUACACACCGCCCGU